GGAAGAGACACAAUAUAAACACGGCGACACACCAAGGUAGUCAGAGGUGAGACAGCGGGCGACCCGCGGCGUGCCGGGGCCUCCAUCACAACAAUGUUGCGGACGGUGUGGCGGUGGGUGUUGGAGGUGUGUGUUGCAGGUGUGGUGGCCGGGCAGCGAGCAGGGAACCCCUUGCUCAUCUUGGGGCACCUGCUUCAAGGACUCGACCCAGCCGGCCCGCCCAGGUUCGACGAGGACGACGAUGAUGACCGCGACGAGGAUUACCUGGACGACGAGGACACCAGCCCCUUCAGCUUCUUCGGGUGACGUGUGACGUGUCUCCACAGGUGCACCUGGAGUGUGGCUCCUCACUCCCCACAUCACACAUUUACAUCGUAAACCGUCUGAUGUGUUUAUAGUAUAAUGUGUUCAUUAUAACUGCAUCAUAGUUACAUUUU
This is a non-coding RNA of Procambarus clarkii (red swamp crayfish), 437 nucleotides long. The record is from RefSeq and is a predicted model, not a curated record. NCBI's taxonomy places the organism in Eukaryota, Metazoa, Arthropoda, Malacostraca, Decapoda, Cambaridae.